This 430-nucleotide ribosomal RNA is filed under the name uncultured Bacteroidota bacterium. RNAcentral describes it as "bacterial SSU rRNA". It matches the Rfam family "Bacterial small subunit ribosomal RNA", at positions 958 to 1385 of the family's 1533-position model. Lineage: Bacteria; Pseudomonadati; Bacteroidota. The record is from RNAcentral.
AACGCGAAGAACCUUACCUGGGCUAGAAUGCAGAUGGAUCGUGGGUGAAAGCUCAUUUUGUAGCAAUACACCGUCUGUAAGGUGCUGCAUGGCUGUCGUCAGCUCGUGCCGUGAGGUGUUGGGUUAAGUCCCGCAACGAGCGCAACCCCCAUCACUAGUUGCCAUCAGGUAAAGCUGGGAACUCUAGUGAAACUGCCGUCGUAAGACGCGAGGAAGGAGGGGAUGAUGUCAAGUCAUCAUGGCCUUUAUGCCCAGGGCUACACACGUGCUACAAUGGGGAGGACAAAGGGCAGCAACACAGUGAUGUGAAGCUAAUCCCAAAAACCUCUUCUCAGUUCAGAUUGCAGUCUGCAACUCGACUGCAUGAAGCUGGAAUCGCUAGUAAUCGUAUAUCAGCAAUGAUACGGUGAAUACGUUCCCGGGCCUUGUA